This 1499-nucleotide small RNA is filed under the name Pan troglodytes (chimpanzee). RNAcentral describes it as "processed transcript". The record is from RNAcentral. Lineage: Eukaryota; Metazoa; Chordata; Mammalia; Primates; Hominidae.
UGUUUUAAAUGAUUAGUAUAUGCUGACUAUGACCCAUAUGCUGUGGCAGGCGUUUGUAAUGAUCAUGGCAAGACAUAUGCAUUAUAUGCCAUCACUGUACACCGGCGCAACCUAAACAGUGAGGAGAUGUGGAAAACCUAUCGUCGUUAUAGUGACUUCCAUGACUUCCACAUGAGAAUCACUGAACAGUUUGAAAGUCUCUCAAGCAUAUUGAAACUUCCUGGAAAAAAGACUUUUAAUAAUAUGGAUAGAGAUUUUUUAGAAAAGAGAAAAAAGGAUCUAAAUGCAUAUUUGCAGUUACUGUUAGCUCCUGAAAUGAUGAAGGCAUCCCCAGCUUUAGCUCACUAUGUGUAUGAUUUCCUUGAGAACAAAGCUUACAGUAAAGGAAAAGGGGAUUUUGCUCGCAAGAUGGACACUUUUGUAAAUCCACUUCGCAAUUCAAUGAGGAAUGUUUCAAAUGCAGUUAAAUCCCUUCCUGAUAGCUUGGCAGAGGGAAUGACUAAAAUGUCAGACAACAUGGGCAAAAUGUCAGAAAGAUUAGGUCAAGACAUAAAGCAAUCAUUUUUUAAGGUGCCUCCUUUAAUUCCUAAGACUGAUGCAGACCCUGAACAUCGCCGAGUUUCGGCUCAACUUGAUGAUAAUGUGGAUGACAAUAUUCCACUUAGGGUAAUGCUGCUUCUCAUGGAUGAAGUAUUCGACUUAAAAGAAAGAAAUCAGUGGUUGCGAAGGAAUAUCAAAAACCUACUUCAACAGCUUAUUAGAGCUACAUAUGGCGAUACUAUUAAUAGAAAAAUAGUUGACCAUGUUGACUGGAUGACUUCACCUGAACAAGUAGCCGACUCAGUGAAACGUUUCAGAGAUGCAUUUUGGCCAAAUGGCAUUUUAGCAGAGGCUGUUCCAUGCAGAGAUAAAAGUAUUCGAAUGAGAACAAGAGUAGCAGGAAAAACGAAAUUACUUGCAAUUAUGCCAGAUGAGCUGAAGCACAUUAUUGGGGCUGAGACAACACGGAAAGGUAUUCUUCGUGUUUUUGAAAUGUUUCAGCACAACCAAUUAAAUAGGAGAAUGGUUUAUGUCUUCUUGGAAGGCUUUUUAGAAACCUUAUUUCCACAGUAUAAAUUCCGUGAACUUUUCAACAAACUGCAUUCACGGUCAAAGCAGAUGCAGAAAUAUAAACAGAAACUUCAAACUACUCAAGCGCCUUCUUUGCAGAAAAGGUGACACUCCACUCUAUGAAGCUGGUGUUCAUUUUGUCCAGGACUAAUGGUAUGGACAGAUCUUCUGGGGCUUAACUCAAAUACUGUUGUGUCUGCACCAGUCUUUUAGUGUCUCAAAAUAGAUUAUUAAUACAUCCAUAAGUCUGUGGUUCUUCUCAUUCUCAUCUAUAAUCCACCACUACCAAGAGAGAUUUCUGUGUCUUAAAUGAUUUGGUGCAUAUUUUGCAACAUUGAGAGAAAACUGCCCCCAUCUCAAGCAAGAAUGGCGUUGGUUUCUUCCAUUUC